GGACUUUCUGUAGAGAUUUGAUUUUGUAGCAUAGAAAGGAGCUCUCAUGUUUGGCUUUUUCUUUUUCUAUGUAAUAUAAUGGACUGAUUUGAGAUUUAAAUCUUUGAUUCUUCAGGUUGCUCUGUAUGUUGGUGGUCUUUAUAUUUGUGGAAAGAUUGGAUGGGAAUCUGUAAUGAAAAUGUGACAAGACACACGAGAACUGUUCUUCUAUGAAACAUUUCAAUAUUACAACCCUCUCCUUCUCAUUGUAAGUCUUUGUCUAAAUCAGAAACUCAAACCCUUAACGUGUGUUUCAUUCCUCUAAUAUAUAUUCAAUUACUUUCAGACAAUGAUGGUUUGGCUCUGGGGUGUUAAUCUGUGGGUCUUUUCUCGAACUGGAGUCGAUUACGCAGCAAUAUUUUAUCUAGGACCAGAUCAUCAUAGUCACAAAGAGAUAUGGAAGGUAUUACAAUUCCUUAGUUACCUACCAUCUUUAUCCAAUGAUUUUCUAAAACCCAUCAUACUCUAAAAUCCAUCUCAACGCAGAUUGUCUACAUCGACUGCAUAAAAGUAGGACGUAUUCUUGGUCAAAGGUAAUUUUGUUUGCUUUAAAUCUAAUUGAUUCAUGCAUAUGUAAUCUGAAACUAUUUUUUCUCUGAAUCCUAUAACGUUUUGUUACAGAUGAUGAUCAUGUGGCUUUCUCACUGCUGCUUUUGCUGAAUCACUAUGGUUUACCCCAAGAGCGAGGUGAUAAGUAGAUAUUUUUCGAUGAGUAUUAUAGUUAAGCCUUAGACUACAGCUCAGAUUCAUCGAAUAUGCUUGUGCGCUUUAUAAGCACUUCAUUGUGCUCUUUCUUAAGGAGCUUCAGAUAUCUGCUUUCAGGUUUACGGUUUCUGUUGCUGCACACCAUUUUAAAUAGAAUUCAUAUUAUCAGUUUUUUCUUAUAUGUGUUUGUUUUGAGCUUCAUCUGCUUAAGCCACCGUCGAGUCAUGUGACCGGAAACAGGAACAGUAGGCAUACAGCUAGGAAUAAUGGGUAUGUCAUAUUUCCAAUAUUUCCUUUUUUAGCUUUCCCCCAACAUUUUCAGUUUAUUUAUCAUAAUCUGUCUUGAUGGGUUGGUGGAACUCCUCAGCUUAAAUUAUCUACGUUAUAAUAGGUGUUGUAUAAAGUUGUAAGACUUUCAGCUUAAAGCACUGCAAAUUCCAUAGCUCUGAAGAAAAAUGACAAGGCCGUAAACCGAGCAAGGAACGAAUAUUUGGAAAAGGUAUUUGCAUAGAAAAUGAUUGGGCUUUGGCAUUGUAAGCUUUUGAUCUGUUCUCAAACUAGGUGCACAUAAUGCUAUGCUUAUUCGAAGGCAUCACAAUUGGUAUUCAAAAGUCUGAGAGAGACUCUAUAGUUCGUCUGUCAAGCUUCCCAAGUUUAUUCAUUCUCCAAGUUAUUAGUUAUUUUCCUAUAUAUUAUCAUUUUAAGUUCCACUCCUUUUUUUUCUGUGACUUUUUAUCUUAUGUAGUAGCAUAUUGAAUAUCCUAUUUUAAGUUCCACUCUUUUUUUUCUGUGACUUUUUAUCUUAUGUAGUAGCAUAUUGGAUGUCAUUUUUCUUCAGAGCUACUGAUAAGAACCUAACAAUCUCAGAAUUCACAAGUUUCUAUGCGGUGCUGAAGUCAUUUUCUGUUCCAGAACCUAGAAUCCCGUGGCCAUAGUCACCAUUUCAACCGCGGUAACCCUACUUUGGGUCAGCUUGCGUACCAUUACAUUGCAGUUAAGUUCAAGCGGAUUAACUCUUCCUUGACCGGUAAAAGGUUGUUUGUUUCUUUGACUAAGAUUUUGGACCCGAACAGAGCUCCGUCUCUCAAGUUAGCUAUGGAGAAUCCAAAAUGGACUGAGGGGAAAACAAGUAUUUGGAUGAGUGAAUACUCAACGUAUAUCACUUAGCCAAGUUCCUUCUCAAAUUAGUGUUUCCACGUUAAAAAAAGGCUAUUGUAAAUGGGGACCACUUGCUUGUGUAUAUAUUCUUACACAUUGAUGUUAGUUGAUUAAGAUUCAGUUCAGCAAACUCAUCUCAUCUUUGAACUUAACCAGUGCAGCUCCUGAAUUGACCAUGACUUGAACCCCUCUAACCAUCAAAAGUCCUAAAAUGGACGCUUGCAUGAACAAAUUAACAAUUCUAGCUGUCUCUGGUGGAGUAACGGACAAUAUUCACCGACUCACCCAGAAACUCCAAUGUUUUUCUGUCAAACAAAACAAGCCAUCCUUCCUACUUUAAUCUGUAAGUGCAUAUUAAUGAUAUUUUUUCUCUUUGCUUCUUUUAUAAGCUUCAAGCUGUCUGAGAAGUACACGUCAAAAGAUUGAAUCCUACGUGGAAAAGAUGCAUGAGCUCAGGGCCUAUGUACUCCCCUUGAUCAGCAUCCAUAAUGAGCUAAGAAAUGACUUUUGUCUAACACAUUAAUAGUUUAUCUGACUAAUUUCAUUAAGUAACUAAAAGGUUUUUUUAUAUGAAUGUUGUUGAGUUUCCGUUGAUACCAUAUGCUGUUCAGUGUUCACACAAUGAAAGCCAACGAAGAAGUGAACCGGGAAAAACCAUACAAAAUAAAUAAAUGUUGUAGAAUGUUAUUAUAUUUUUGAUUUUUUUUUUUCAUUUGGAAUUCACUUUGCCACAUGAAACAAAGGUAAUAAGUAAUAACAUGAUUCUCCUCUAACAGAAAAAUAACAUGAUUCUCAUGCGUAUACAGUUGCUUUUUUUACCACCAUUGUUUUAAGAUAUAUUAAAAUAAAUCCAUAAUGAUUUUCUAAUAACGAUAUUAUGAAAAGCAAAACAGACGAGAAAAGAGAAUACAAU
Molecule: long non-coding RNA, 2815 nt
Organism: Brassica rapa (field mustard)
Lineage: Eukaryota; Viridiplantae; Streptophyta; Magnoliopsida; Brassicales; Brassicaceae
Source: RefSeq, a predicted model, not a curated record